Molecule: long non-coding RNA, 1536 nt
Organism: Vespula vulgaris
Lineage: Eukaryota; Metazoa; Arthropoda; Insecta; Hymenoptera; Vespidae
Exons: 3
Source: RefSeq, a predicted model, not a curated record
CAUAUGAGCGAGGAAUGAAUUGCGACUUUUCUGCUGUAAUGUUGUUCUCGUGUUUUAUAGUUGUAAUAAUUUUUUACGUAAAAACAAAAGACGAAUAACAUUAACAUGUUAAACAUUCAUAAACAUUAUUAAUGAAAGAGAUAUGACGUUUUUGUUUUGCGAUUUGUAAAUAAAUUGUUAAUUUGUUUUGUAAUUAUAAAAAGUAACGAGAAAUGUACAAAAAUAAAGAAAAUGAGAGAUAUGGAGCAAAGGAAGAAAGAAUGUAAAAGAAAAAAGAAUGAAAAGAAAGGGAAAAGAAGAAAUUAUUGGCAUAACAAUAUGCAUCGAAUAAGUUUAUCCAAUUAUACGUACAGUAUUUCGAAGCAAUCUCCCGGAAUUUAUUCGAAAUGAAAUACUAGGGACUCAAAAAAGUACUGAUCCAGCCAAAGAAAAUGUUAACUAAUGGAAAAAUAUAAAGUCUACUUUCGACGAUUCUAUCAUCUAUGUUAAAAAUAUGACAUUAUAGCAGGUAGUACUAAUAAAAUACGUAUUAACCCUUUGCAUUCGAUUAAUUUUUGCGGCAACUCGAGCGAUGAUUUUUCGGUCACUAUUCGAUUUGACGUGAUAUGUUGAACGACGGCGAUGUUUAUUUUCUUUAAAAUUCGAAGCAUUGUACAAUUUAUAACCUUCCGAAAUGUAAAAUGAUAUAUCUUUAUGUAGUGAUAAUUUCUUAUUUUGCCUUUCUCCGGAGACUCCUCCAGUUGCAUCUCUUUGCAUCAGUUUGAGUUUGACAGUUAUAGCUAUAAGAAUAUUAUCUUUAAAUUUUUUUAGCCCUGUAAGCUCAUACAGAAUAUGAUAAAGAAAUUAGUUCAAAUAGAGUUGAGUUUAAUUUUUUGUUGCUGAAAGUUCUUGAUGCUUAGGGACAUCAUGUGUUUGCAGACAGAUAUAUAAAUUAUACCUUAGUGGAAGAAUUACAGAAACUGAAAUAUCAUUUGAGAGGGAUGAUUCUAACAAAUAGGAAGAAUUUGUUAAAUCAUAUAAAAAAACAAAGAAUUGCAGCUAGGGAUCACUACAAUAUUGUAAACAUUAUUAUUAAGAUAUUGAAAUUUAUUCAUGGAAUACAAUGAUGCCAUAUUUAUAAUAGUUCGACAAUAUAUUAGAGUACAUAACUCGGAUACAAUGGAGAGCAUAUAAGAAUUAAAAAUAUAGUUAAUUAUAUUAUAUUAACUAGAAAUUUUGAAUAGACAAGGAUUUAAAACAGUUUUUAAUAAUUAAAGACAGUUACGAUAGAAAAUUGUGUUGAGUCACUGAUACGAUUCUUAAAGACUUCAGAAUGUAAUAUUUGACAUCUCUUAUGAUAAAAAGCAUGCAAAAGAUGAAUAAUUACAAUUGUAAUAAAUAUUUUUGAAGGAAAAAAUAUUUUUUUAUGUCAUCAUAAGAUACAAUCAACUAUAACAUUAAGGUAAGGGAUUAUGAAAUUAAAUGAUGUUAUAAAAAUAGGUUGCAAAAUUGAUAAAAUUUGAUGUAAUCUAGUGAAAUUAUCUUUAAUUAAAUUUA